GACGAACGCUGGCGGCGUGCUUAACACAUGCAAGUCGAACGGAAAGGCCCUGCUUUUGUGGGGUGCUCGUGUGGCGAACGGGUGUGUAUCACGUGUGUAACCUUCCCUUGUCUUUGGGAUAACUUCUGGUAACUGGGGCUAUUACCGGAUAGGAUCUCCUGCUGCAUGGUGGGUGUUGGAAAGUUUCGGCGGUUGGGGAUGGACUCGCGGCUUAUCAGCUUGUUGGUGGGGUAGUGGCUUACCAAGGCUUUGACGGGUAGCCGGCCUGAGAGGGUGAACGGCGACAAGGGGACUGAGAUAGGGCACAGAGGGAAACGGGAGGCAGCAGUGGGGAAUAGAGCAAAAUGGGCGGAAGGAUGAGGCAGAAAGGGAGGGUGCGGGAAGACGGGCUGCGGGGUGGAAAAAGAUUUAGAAUGAGAAGAAGAGAGAGUGACGGUAAUGGGUAAAGAAGCAACGGCUAACUACGUG
This 468-nucleotide ribosomal RNA is filed under the name uncultured bacterium. RNAcentral's name for it is "partial 16S ribosomal RNA". It matches the Rfam family "Bacterial small subunit ribosomal RNA", at positions 28 to 507 of the family's 1533-position model. The record is from RNAcentral.